Molecule: unclassified non-coding RNA, 312 nt
Filed under: plant metagenome
Description: partial contains 5.8S ribosomal RNA, internal transcribed spacer 2, and large subunit ribosomal RNA
Rfam family: 5.8S ribosomal RNA (bases 1-104)
Source: RNAcentral
GAAAUGCGAUACGUAAUGUGAAUUACAAAUUCAGUGAAUCAUCGAGUCUUUGAACGCACAUUGCGCCCCCUGGUAUUCCGGGGGGCAUGCCUGUCCGAGCGUCAUUUCUGCCCUCAAGCACGGCUUGUGUGUUGGGCCCCGUCCUCCGAUCCCGGGGGACGGGCCCGAAAGGCAGCGGCGGCACCGCGUCCGGUCCUCGAGCGUAUGGGGCUUUGUCACCCGCUCUGUAGGCCCGGCCGGCGCUUGCCGAUCAACCCAAAUUUUUAUCCAGGUUGACCUCGGAUCAGGUAGGGAUACCCGCUGAACUUAAGC